AUUGAACGCUGGCGGCAUGCCUUACACAUGCAAGUCGAACGGUAACAGGGAGCUUGCUCCGCUGACGAGUGGCGAACGGGUGAGUAAUGUAUCGGAACGUACCAUUCAGUGGGGGAUAACGUAGCGAAAGUUACGCUAAUACCGCAUAUUCUGUGAGCAGGAAAGCAGGGGAUCGCAAGACCUUGCGCUGAUUGAGCGGCCGAUAUCAGAUUAGCUAGUUGGUGAGGUAAAGGCUCACCAAGGCGACGAUCUGUAGCGGGUCUGAGAGGAUGAUCCGCCACACUGGAACUGAGACACGGUCCAGACUCCUACGGGAGGCAGCAGUGGGGAAUUUUGGACAAUGGGGGCAACCCUGAUCCAGCCAUGCCGCGUGAGUGAAGAAGGCCUUCGGGUUGUAAAGCUCUUUCGGCCGGGAAAAUCGCAUCAGUUAAUACCUGGUGUGGAUGAUGGUACCGGAAUAAGAAGCACCGGCUAACUACGUGACCG
Molecule: ribosomal RNA, 486 nt
Filed under: uncultured bacterium
Lineage: Bacteria
Description: bacterial SSU rRNA
Rfam family: Bacterial small subunit ribosomal RNA
Source: RNAcentral